Molecule: ribosomal RNA, 412 nt
Filed under: uncultured bacterium
Lineage: Bacteria
Description: bacterial SSU rRNA
Rfam family: Bacterial small subunit ribosomal RNA
Source: RNAcentral
GUAGGGAAUUUUCGGCAAUGGGGGGAACCCUGACCGAGCAACGCCGCGUGAACGAAGAAGUAUUUCGGUAUGUAAAGUUCUUUUAUUGGAGAAGAAAGAGAAAUUUGACGGUAACCAAUGAAUAAGCUCCGGCUAACUACGUGCCAGCAGCCGCGGUAAUACGUAGGGAGCGAGCGUUAUCCGGAAUUAUUGGGCGUAAAGGGUGCGUAGAUGGUUGAUAUAAGUCUUUUGUAAAAAUGCUAGGCUCAACCUAGUAGGGCAAAAGAUACUGAUGAACUAGAGUACGGCAGAGGCAAGUGGAACUACAUGUGUAGCGGUAAAAUGCGUAAAUAUAUGUAAGAACACCGGUGGCGAAGGCGGCUUGCUGGGCCUGUACUGACAUUGAGGCACGAAAGCGUGGGGAGCAAACAGG